Long non-coding RNA from Megalobrama amblycephala (Wuchang bream), 503 nucleotides. RefSeq lists it as uncharacterized. The transcript has 3 exons. The record is from RefSeq and is a predicted model, not a curated record. NCBI's taxonomy places the organism in Eukaryota, Metazoa, Chordata, Actinopteri, Cypriniformes, Xenocyprididae.
UAUUUUAUUUAUUAACUACAUAUUUAAUUUACUGUGACGUUAUGCUGAAAUACGAGAAAGUCUGUCAACUUUACAAGAUAAGUUCAUCUCCUUGUCGCUGGGAGGCGCCAAAUAUAAGAUACUGUACUAGCUCAGGUUUUACCUCCAGGUUUAGAUUCAAAACUAAAAAUACUAUCCAACAAAUAGUUUCAGUUUUAAUUGUAUUAUUUUAUUCUGAAGCACGUUGUUGUCAACAGGGCAAUUUGUUUUCUGAAGAUCCAGUUUUAUAUUUGAAACUUCAUGUGCCACAUGAAAAGGUGAGCCAGACUGGAUGACGGAUGAAGACAGGCAGAUGGUAGCAGACAGAAGAUGGGUCACAGGCAAGUAGCAGGGCUGUUAAGACUCGUUUUGCACAGUGCAGACACACAGUCAAAGUUCAUCAGUGACAGAGAAUCAAGCCCUGGAGAGGUGUCAGGUGUGAACAUGUAUGUCCUGAAUGAUGAAUGUGUAUGUCCUAUGAUGAU